CAAAAAGACCAAAAAUCAGCUAGGGUCCCAAAAGUAGAGGGAGUUACGUUUCGGCCACGACGGUGAUCAUGGUCGUAAUGAUUCCGAGAUGCAGAAAAGAAAAACCCGAAAAGUACCCAACAAAAGAGAGUCCGUAGCCAUGUAAUUAAGGUGCUGCACAGUGGAACUAAAUUGUGGCUGCUGCCACUGCAAAAACAGUAAGUGGAAAUGGAGAUACAAAGCGGCAACAGGCAGAAGACCAGAAAUAAGUGGUAGAAAAGAGAAGACGGAAAAACGGUAGCUGCCUCAUAGGGCGAGCGAAUUGUUAUGCUAGUCGUCGUCGACUUCCCCCAUCAACAACUGUUGCUCUUGCUGCACUCGGAAAAUAAUUUUCAGCAUAUAUAAAUAACAAUAAGUAAAUAAGAAAUAAAAUAAAUAAUUACCAUAAUUGGUCUCCCUUAUAAUUGGAUUCCACAAUACAUAAAAUUGAAAUUGACUAUUGUUUAAUAAUAAUAUCUAAUAUCUAACCCUUACCUUGCUCUUUUUGCUU
Molecule: non-coding RNA, 529 nt
Organism: Drosophila melanogaster (fruit fly)
Lineage: Eukaryota; Metazoa; Arthropoda; Insecta; Diptera; Drosophilidae
Source: Ensembl